This 70-nucleotide transfer RNA is filed under the name Marmota monax (woodchuck). Its description in RNAcentral is "tRNA.Ala". It matches the Rfam family "tRNA". Rfam says of the family: Transfer RNA (tRNA) molecules are approximately 80 nucleotides in length. Their secondary structure includes four short double-helical elements and three loops (D, anti-codon, and T loops). Lineage: Eukaryota; Metazoa; Chordata; Mammalia; Rodentia; Sciuridae. The record is from RNAcentral.
GGGGUUGUGGCUCAGUGGUAGAGCGCUUGCCUCGCACACAGGAGGCCUGGGUUCGAACCUCAGCACCGCA